CCUACGGGAGGCAGCAGUGAGGAAUAUUGGUCAAUGGGCGGGAGACUGAACCAGCCAAGCCGCGUGAGGGAAGAAGGUACAGCGUAUCGUAAACCUCUUUUGUCAGGGAACAAAGGCGGGGACUAGUCCCCGGAUGAGUGUACCUGAAGAAAAAGCAUCGGCUAACUCCGUGCCAGCAGCCGCGGUAAUACGGAGGAUGCGAGCGUUAUCCGGAUUUAUUGGGUUUAAAGGGUGCGCAGGCGGCCUGUUAAGUCAGCGGUAAAAGCCCGGGGCUCAACCCCGGCGCGCCGUUGAAACUGGCGGGCUGGAGUUGGAGAGAAGUACGCGGAAGGCGCGGUGUAGCGGUGAAAUGCUUAGAUAUCGCGCAGAACCCCGAUUGUGAAGGCAGCAUGCCGGCUCCACACUGACGCUGAGGCACGAAAGCGUGGGUAUCGAACAGGAUUAGAUACCCUGGUAGUC
This 459-nucleotide ribosomal RNA is filed under the name uncultured bacterium. Its description in RNAcentral is "partial 16S ribosomal RNA". It matches the Rfam family "Bacterial small subunit ribosomal RNA", at positions 338 to 795 of the family's 1533-position model. The record is from RNAcentral.